AUUACUGAAAUCUUCACAAUUUUAGCAUUUUAGUUAAAUUUUAGACGGUUUCUGUCUUAAAUGAAAGUGGCCGCAUUCGUGUUCAUUCAUAAUAUUGAAAUGUAAGUUGUAUUUGAUGAUAUUUCAUAACAUAUAUAAAGGUUGAGGAUGAACACGGAUGCGGCCACUUUCAAUUUUGACAAAAACCAUCUGAAAAGUGACGUUUUUUGGCAUAUUUGAUAGAUUUUUCAUAUUUAAGCUUGAAUCGGAGCGUUUUUAAUGACUAAAUCAGUUAAAAUCUUUCACAUAAAUUAAUUGAAUUAAUUGAAAUAGAC
This 314-nucleotide long non-coding RNA is filed under the name Mytilus galloprovincialis (Mediterranean mussel). Lineage: Eukaryota; Metazoa; Mollusca; Bivalvia; Mytilida; Mytilidae. The record is from RNAcentral.